This 108-nucleotide small nucleolar RNA is filed under the name Cephalotus follicularis. RNAcentral's name for it is "Plant small nucleolar RNA R71". It matches the Rfam family "Plant small nucleolar RNA R71". Rfam says of the family: R71 is a member of the C/D box family of snoRNAs containing the C (UGAUGA) and D (CUGA) box motifs. Multiple nearly identical copies of this snoRNA have been identified in Arabidopsis, and it is thought to function as a 2'-O-ribose methylation guide for 18S ribosomal RNA. Lineage: Eukaryota; Viridiplantae; Streptophyta; Magnoliopsida; Oxalidales; Cephalotaceae. The record is from Rfam by way of RNAcentral.
AAGCCAUGAUGAGGACACUCUAAGAGAAGAUCCUUAAAACGUUCCAUACACCUAGAAAAUGAUUCAUUUGGUUUUUUGACGAAAUUGGAGAAUGUCGUUCCUAAGUUU